GAUGAAGAACGCAGCGAAAUGCGAUAAGUAAUGCGAAUUGCAGAAUUCCAGUGAGUCAUCGAAUCUUUGAACGCACAUUGCGCCCGCCAGUAUUCUGGCGGGCAUGCCUGUCCGAGCGUCAUUUCAACCCUCGCGCCCAUCUGGGCUGCGGUGUUGGGGACCGGCCUGCCCCCCGGGGCGCGCCGCCCCCCAAAUUCAGUGGCGGUCUCGCUGCAGCCUCCCUUGCGUAGUAGCACACCUCGCACCGGAGCGCAGCGCGGCCACGCCGUAAAACCCCCGACCCCCAUGAGUUUGACCUCGGAUCAGGUAGGAAUACCCGCUGAACUUAAGCAUAUCAAUAAGCGGAGGA
This 349-nucleotide unclassified non-coding RNA is filed under the name soil metagenome. RNAcentral describes it as "partial contains 5.8S ribosomal RNA, internal transcribed spacer 2, and large subunit ribosomal RNA". The stretch from base 1 to 121 matches the Rfam family "5.8S ribosomal RNA", at positions 35 to 154 of the family's 154-position model. The record is from RNAcentral.